GAAGAUUGUAUUUCUGAAAAUGACCCCAGCAAAAUUACUGGUCUUCCAUGAUCUCCCUGACGUUUUCACUCGCCAUCAUGAGGUGAACGUAUUUCCCCUCCCCGGAAACUGGGAAGGGCUUUGUGAUGGCCUUGACAGACAGAACGUGACAGAAGUGAUGCUGCGUGACUUCCCAGGCUAGGUCAUAAAAGGCAUUACGGCUUCACUUGGAAAUCUCUUUUUCUUGGGAUUUAUCCUGGGAACCCAGCCACCAGUUUAUAAGGAAGCCCAGGUCACAUGAAGGAGCCGCGUGCACGUGUUCCGGCUGAUUGCCAGCUGAGGUUCCAGCUGAUGGUCAGCAUUAAUUGCCAGAACAUCGGCUCCACAACGGGAGGAACACAUUUGUCUUGUUCACAGCUGGAUCUGCAGGGACAGGCAGAGCCUGCACAUAGUAGGGAGGCUCAGAGAGGUGCAAUAAUCGCCCACGUCACUCAGCUGGAGCCCGGAUUUGAGUCCUGGUCAUUCUGAAGCUGUUCCUCUUCCCUCAUCAUCUGGUCAGGAAGCCCUCUGCUCCCAGGUUUACAAGUGGCGGCAAGAAACUGGAGCCUGGAGAGGAGGAAGCCGCCCUCUGAGAGGCACCCAGGGACUUCCCUCUCUGUUGGUUUUCUCUUCGCUGUAAAGGUCUGCAUAUUUCUGGAGCCAGUGAACCAAAUCAGCUGGGGCCUGCCUUUUGUCCCAGGGACUUUUUCCUAAGGUCUUCUGGGAAGACAAAACAGAGGAGGGAUGGG
This 767-nucleotide long non-coding RNA is filed under the name Equus caballus (horse). Its description in RNAcentral is "lncRNA (ENSECAG00000060191.1)". Lineage: Eukaryota; Metazoa; Chordata; Mammalia; Perissodactyla; Equidae. The record is from RNAcentral.